UAACACUAAAAUUUAAGUAAAUCACAAAAUGAAACUAUUAAUAAUAUAAGUUAUCCAACAAGCUAAUAAUAUCCAUAAAGCAAAUGUUCUACCCCAAGUGCAUAAGUUUAAUACAUUUCAAGAUAGUAAGUUUCAGAAUGUUGUUAACAAAAGAUUCCUAGAACAUUCAUCUAUAGCAAUUCAAAAUUCAUCUUAAGUAAGGUCUAGAUCUUCACUGCAUUCACCUUUCAUUUCUUGAUCUAAUCCACCUACAAAAGAGGAUAAAUUAAGUCAUUACCCUUCAAGAGAAUCCGGUCGAAGAAUGCUCAUAGCACACCCAAAGAUAUUGAAUGCUUGGGCAAAAUAUAUGGAACAAAAAAGAAAAGAAAAGAUUAGACAUACAAGAUGCUAGUCAUGAGCCUAGCUCUUCUACAGAUAAACACGUUAUGUAGACCCAAAAUUAGGCAUCAAAUGUGCGUGCAAGCUGCUAAAAAAGAACAUAGCAUAUGUUACUGACCUUUCCCAGCAGUAGUUUAGAGAGGAAUAAGAAAAAUCCAUUGAAAUAGAGAAUGUUACAAGCAUACCAGAUCAAGAUAAGAAUGCAAAAAGUUAGCAACAACAAGAUGAUUUGAUAGGAAUCUAUGGGAUCAAGAAUAACAAUGAAGUUUAUUCUCUAUCUUAGGAUGUUUAGGGAACAAUAUACGAAUAUAGUCUUAUAUGUUUUUAUAAUCUUUCCCUAAAUAUCCUAGGACGGAGAAUAAACCCCAUCGCCAACCUACAUUAAGAAAAUUAUUCACUCCACGAAUAUACUCAUCCGCCCAUCUUAGGAGAUUCAUCCAACUUUUAUCACCAUAAUCCAUGGAUAUCCUAUAUAACAUGGUCAAAUCACCAAAAUUAAUAUUCAAGCUAAGAAAAGUUACAUCUCGAUACUAUAUUAUUAUUACCAAGAAAAAAUAUAGCAUAUUGCUUUUAGAAAGAAUAACAAGAAAGGUCUUUACAGUAAUACAUAAACAAGCACUAUAAUAAAAAAAAUAAUCUAAUGAACCAAAGAACAAAAAAUGCAUUGCAUUAGUCAGUAUAACGACACCGUCUUUUGGCAACUAGACAAUAUACCUUAUAUCAAGGCACACAAACAACUAUGGCAGAGACUCAAGACGACUGGACAUAAUCAAAACAUAUAUAUAAUUGGACUCGUAAUUGGAAGAAAAUAUAUCUCUGCACAAUGCAAAAAAUUAUAAGCGAUGACAAAAGGAAUGCUCCAUCUCGUUAUACUUCUAUUCAAGCGAUGACAAAAGGAAGUAUAAAAUAGUACAAUUUCAGGCCACCUCUUGCUUGUAGAGUUGAAUUCAAAUGAAAAUUGAGUGCAGAAUUAGCGUAUCUAGUUCAUGCAAAAGACAAACUAGAUUACACCCAGUAAGAGAGGGACUCUUUCCAACCUUGAUCGCAGUAAAGUGGAACAGCACAACACCUAUAAGUUCAUCAUAAAUCCAGGUACUCAUAUUUCAAAAAAUUGAAGAAAAUCCCUUGUAAAAUGGAAAUGGAAAGACAACACUAAUAUUAUAGCACCAUGUCAAUCUCAUAGACAAUCAUAAAUGUCCUCAUUAUUCCUAACGAAUGAAUGAAAUAAAAAAUCAAGAUAACCACAUGCAGAUCAAAAGUUAAGUCUUCCUUGGCAAUCACAAUCUACUCUGAUAAAAGAAAGAAAGAAACUCACACCAUAGUAGAAACUUCUAGUUCUUAUACAACACAUAUAUUCAGUUGAAUAAGAUGCAACGUAAUUAUAACUUUAUUCACUUAUCACAAAUAAUUGACUUCAGUCAAUCUUAACCGUGAGUCUGUGAUGGGAGAUUCCAGAAAGGCAACUAUAGUCUCGAAACAGCUCAAGGACUCAAGUCAACUCAACAUUCAAUCAUCUUUUUCUAGUUAACAACAAUAUACAUACCCAGUGUAUUCCCACAAGUGGGUCUGGGGAGGUAGAGUGUAUGCAGACCUUACCUCUGCCUUUAAAAGACAGAGAGGCUGCUUCCGGAAGACCCUCGGCAUUUUUUUCUAGUUGCUAAAUUGAAUUAACAAAGUUGUUAAAGAGUGAACUAAUAUGAUUGUUAAAGAACACCUUUGCAAAUUAACGAAUUCCGUAAAAGCUGCAGCAAAUGGAAAACAAAGAGAUCAAAGAGGGUCAUCUUCAGAAAUGUGACCACAACGACAUAUAUUUGUUUCUCAAUCUAUAAUGCUGAAAAGAUGAAGCUUUAAAUUCAGGAAGAGGUGAACCCCAGAAACACGCUGAAAAUAAUAACACGGGCAAAACUGAAAGAACCCCUUGAAAAGUUGCACAUUCAGCAAGAAUUUCACCCGAACACCUCCCAAUUUAAUAUCAAUCAAAGCCCAAAAGGCUAAUUAAGACAAGACCCAAAAACAAUAAAAAUUAAGUACCAAAAAUCCUACAAAGAUCAAAACUUUAACUAAAAUCUUCAUCAGGGUAUCUCAAGAAAAAAAACUAAAAUACCAGAAUUUCUUCCAAAGCUAGCUCCUUUACCAGGAAUUUUCAUCAGGGUACCUCAAGAAACAAGCUAAAUACCAAAAAUUCAUCUCAAGGUAGCUCUUUUACCAGGAAUUAUCAUCAGGGUACCUCAAGAAACAAAGCUAAAUACCAAAAAUUCAUCUCAAGGUAGCUCCUUUACCAUGAAUUACCAUCAGGGUACCUCAAGAAACAAGCUAAAUACCAAAAAAUCUUGCCAAGGUAGCUCUUUUACCAGGAAUUAUCAUCAGGAUACCUCAAGAAACAAGCUAAAUACCAAAAAUUCUUGUAAAGAUAGCACCUUUACUAGGAAUUAUCAUCAGGGUAUUUCAAGAAAAGGCAUUAAUCAAACAAAUUAAUAGAAGAAAAUAGAAGGAAAAAAAGUCAAAAAGAUUAUGAGGAUUCACCAGUGGAGGUUGAACUCGAAAACCUCUAUGUGCAUUUGGAGACCUUUCAAUUGUUUGGUCCAUUUCUGUAAUGAAAAUUUCAUGCACAAAAGAUUCAAAAUUUCGCCCCUUAGAAGAAUCAGAUCAAGAGAGCUAAAAUCCCAAAGAAGAGCUUCGGGCCCAAAAUCAUGAAUGAGGCCCAAAAUCAACACCCACAAGAGUUAAAGAAACUUUUGCAAUAAGAGUAUGUUUACCGAUUUUUAGAUUUGGAGAAACCCUAAAGGAUUAGCACGCGGCCGUCGGUGCGGCCGAUGAUAGAUGACCAGUCGAUCCUCUCCUACUAAUUUCCGGAAGAACAAAGGUGUUGGAGCCUGGAGGAGAAUAUUUAAGGACACAGAUCUUAAUUUUGUGAGUGUGGAUGGUACUAAAAUUAGGGGUUUUAGAUAUUU
This 3329-nucleotide long non-coding RNA is filed under the name Nicotiana tabacum (common tobacco). RNAcentral's name for it is "long non-coding RNA (NTAB_LNC001761)". Lineage: Eukaryota; Viridiplantae; Streptophyta; Magnoliopsida; Solanales; Solanaceae. The record is from RNAcentral.